AGAGUUUGAUUAUGGCUCAGGAUGAACGCUGGCGGCGUGCUUAACACAUGCAAGUCGAACGGGAAAUAUUUCAUUGAGACUUCGGUGGAUUUGAUUUAUUUCUAGUGGCGGACGGGUGAGUAACGCGUGGGUAACCUGCCUUAUACAGGGGGAUAACAGUCAGAAAUGGCUGCUAAUACCGCAUAAGCGCACAGAGCUGCAUGGCUCAGUGUGAAAAACUCCGGUGGUAUAAGAUGGACCCGCGUUGGAUUAGCUUGUUGGUGGGGUAACGGCCCACCAAGGCGACGAUCCAUAGCCGGCCUGAGAGGGUGAACGGCCACAUUGGGACUGAGACACGGCCCAG
Molecule: ribosomal RNA, 343 nt
Filed under: uncultured bacterium
Lineage: Bacteria
Description: bacterial SSU rRNA
Rfam family: Bacterial small subunit ribosomal RNA
Source: RNAcentral